CCGGAGGAAGGUGGGGACGACGUCAAGUCAUCAUGGCCUGUAAGUCCAGGGCUACACACGUGCUACAAUGGCCGGUACAAAGGCCUGCGAGACCGCAAGGUGGAGCCAAUCCCAAAAAGCCGCCCUCAGUUCGGAUGGCACUCUGCAACUCGAGUGCAUGAAGGUGGAAUCGCUAGUAAUCGCGGAUCAGCAUGCCGCGGUGAAUACGUUCCCGGGCCUUGUACACACCGCCCGUCACAUCACGAAAGUCAGUUGCUCUUGAAGUCGCUGCGCUAACCGCAAGGAGGCAGGCGCCUACGGAGUGGCUGGUGAUUGGGGUG
RNAcentral lists this ribosomal RNA (320 nucleotides) under uncultured soil bacterium. Its description in RNAcentral is "bacterial SSU rRNA". It matches the Rfam family "Bacterial small subunit ribosomal RNA", at positions 1163 to 1482 of the family's 1533-position model. The record is from RNAcentral.